This 58-nucleotide transfer RNA is filed under the name Salmo salar (Atlantic salmon). It matches the Rfam family "tRNA", at positions 8 to 63 of the family's 71-position model. From Rfam's summary of the family: Transfer RNA (tRNA) molecules are approximately 80 nucleotides in length. Their secondary structure includes four short double-helical elements and three loops (D, anti-codon, and T loops). The record is from Rfam by way of RNAcentral. Lineage: Eukaryota; Metazoa; Chordata; Actinopteri; Salmoniformes; Salmonidae.
UGGCUCAGCUGGUAGAGCAUGGUGUUUGCAACGCCAGGGUUGUGGGUUCAAUUCCCAC